AAGUCCCGUAACGAGCGCAACCCUCACCGUAUGUUGCCAGCGUAAAGUCGGGAACUCUUACGGAACUGCCCGUGCAAGCGGGAGGAAGGUGGGGAUGACGUCAAGUCGGCAUGGCCCUUACGCCUGGGGCUUCACACAUGCUACAAUGGGCAGCAACAGACGGCUCCGAGACCGCGAGGUGGAGGGAAUCCGAGAAAUCUGUCCUCAGUUCGGAUUGCAGGCUGCAACUCGUCUGCAUGAAGCUGGAAUCGCUAGUAACCGCAGGUCAGCUAAACUGCGGUGAAUACGUUCCCGGGCCUUGUACACACCGCCCGU
This 315-nucleotide ribosomal RNA is filed under the name uncultured soil bacterium. Its description in RNAcentral is "bacterial SSU rRNA". It matches the Rfam family "Bacterial small subunit ribosomal RNA", at positions 1082 to 1397 of the family's 1533-position model. The record is from RNAcentral.